Molecule: long non-coding RNA, 323 nt
Filed under: Zonotrichia albicollis (white-throated sparrow)
Lineage: Eukaryota; Metazoa; Chordata; Aves; Passeriformes; Passerellidae
Description: lncRNA (ENSZALG00000009469.1)
Source: RNAcentral
GAGGAAUGUUAUUUUCCUGACAUGAUCUUUGAAGGCACUCAGUAUCCUUGAGGAAGAUACCGAGUGCAGAUUGUUUGAACCCUGGACAGCCACUGCACCAAGUGGGAUUUUGGAGCCUGUGGGACCUGAUGUGUGCUCAGAUUCAGGAAAAGCUUCUCAGCACAGACUGGAGCCUGACCCAGCACAGACUGGUUUCCCACCCAGCAGGCAGAGCUCAUUUAUACAGAACAGACUUCUGCUUUUGUGAUUUUCAGGACAUCUGAUGCACUCCUGGUAAGUAAGUUAAUAUUAAUUUCCAAGUAUAAUUGUACUUUUGACUUUUA